UNUAUGUCUCGCUGCUUAGUGCCCUGGG
This 28-nucleotide non-coding RNA is filed under the name Mus musculus (house mouse). The record is from RNAcentral. Lineage: Eukaryota; Metazoa; Chordata; Mammalia; Rodentia; Muridae.